AUUGAACGCUGGCGGCAUGCUUUGCACAUGCAAGUCGAACGGUAACAGGUUAAGCUGACGAGUGGCGAACGGGUGAGUAAUGCAUCGGAACGUGCCCGGUCGUGGGGGAUAACGCAGCGAAAGCUGCGCUAAUACCGCAUACGAUCUGAGGAUGAAAGCGGGGGACCGUAAGGCCUCGCGCGAUCGGAGCGGCCGAUGUCAGAUUAGGUAGGUGGUGGGGUAAAGGCCUACCAAGCCGACGAGCUGUAGCUGGUCUGAGAGGACGACCAGACACAAUGGGACUGAGACACGGCCCAGACUCCUACGGGAGGCAGCAGUGGGGAAUUUUGGACAAUGGGCGCAAGCCUGAUCCAGCAAUGCCGCGUGCAGGAAGAAGGCCUUCGGGUUGUAAACUGCUUUUGUACGGAACGAAAAGGCUCUCUCUAAUACAGGGGGUUCAUGACGGUACCGUAAGAAUAAGCACCGGCUAACUACGUGCCAGCCGCCGCAGUAA
This 493-nucleotide ribosomal RNA is filed under the name uncultured bacterium. RNAcentral's name for it is "partial 16S ribosomal RNA". It matches the Rfam family "Bacterial small subunit ribosomal RNA", at positions 29 to 523 of the family's 1533-position model. The record is from RNAcentral.